This 650-nucleotide ribosomal RNA is filed under the name Shigella flexneri. Its description in RNAcentral is "bacterial SSU rRNA". It matches the Rfam family "Bacterial small subunit ribosomal RNA", at positions 134 to 779 of the family's 1533-position model. The record is from RNAcentral. Lineage: Bacteria; Pseudomonadati; Pseudomonadota; Gammaproteobacteria; Enterobacterales; Enterobacteriaceae.
UGGAGGGGGAUAACUACUGGAAACGGUAGCUAAUACCGCAUAACGUCGCAAGACCAAAGAGGGGGACCUUCGGGCCUCUUGCCAUCGGAUGUGCCCAGAUGGGAUUAGCUAGUAGGUGGGGUAACGGCUCACCUAGGCGACGAUCCCUAGCUGGUCUGAGAGGAUGACCAGCCACACUGGAACUGAGACACGGUCCAGACUCCUACGGGAGGCAGCAGUGGGGAAUAUUGCACAAUGGGCGCAAGCCUGAUGCAGCCAUGCCGCGUGUAUGAAGAAGGCCUUCGGGUUGUAAAGUACUUUCAGCGGGGAGGAAGGGAGUAAAGUUAAUACCUUUGCUCAUUGACGUUACCCGCAGAAGAAGCACCGGCUAACUCCGUGCCAGCAGCCGCGGUAAUACGGAGGGUGCAAGCGUUAAUCGGAAUUACUGGGCGUAAAGCGCACGCAGGCGGUUUGUUAAGUCAGAUGUGAAAUCCCCGGGCUCAACCUGGGAACUGCAUCUGAUACUGGCAAGCUUGAGUCUCGUAGAGGGGGGUAGAAUUCCAGGUGUAGCGGUGAAAUGCGUAGAGAUCUGGAGGAAUACCGGUGGCGAAGGCGGCCCCCUGGACGAAGACUGACGCUCAGGUGCGAAAGCGUGGGGAGCAAACAGGAUU